AGGUAGCCUCUUUGCAGAAAAUAUAAUAGCCAAGAAGGUGUUUAACUGCUCGUACAUUAAUUGCCUUUUACUUUUCAGACUUGCUGAGGUUUUUCCUUGAAGCUUGUCUAGUAAGCCUAGGCACAAU
This is a small nucleolar RNA of Hevea brasiliensis (rubber tree), 127 nucleotides long. RefSeq annotates it as small nucleolar RNA snoR77. The transcript has a single exon. NCBI's taxonomy places the organism in Eukaryota, Viridiplantae, Streptophyta, Magnoliopsida, Malpighiales, Euphorbiaceae. The record is from RefSeq and is a predicted model, not a curated record.